CCUACGGGAGGCAGCAGUAAGGAAUAUUGGUCAAUGGAGGCAACUCUGAACCAGCCAUGCCGCGUGCAGGAAGACAGCCCUAUGGGUCGUAAACUGCUUUUAUACGGGAAUAAACUUUGAUUCGUGAAUCAAGCUGAAUGUACCGUAAGAAUAAGGAUCGGCUAACUCCGUGCCAGCAGCCGCGGUAAUACGGAGGAUCCAAGCGUUAUCCGGAUUUAUUGGGUUUAAAGGGAGCGUAGGCGGCCUAUUAAGUCAGGGGUGAAAGACGGUGGCUCAACCAUCGCAGUGCCUUUGAUACUGAUGGGCUUGAAUAUAGUUGAGGUAGGCGGAAUGUGACAAGUAGCGGUGAAAUGCAUAGACAUGUCACAGAACACCGAUUGCAAGGCAGCUACUAAGCUAUGAUUGACGCUGAGGCUCGAAAGCGUGGGGAUCAAACAGGAUUAGAUACCCUGGUAGUCCACGCCUAAACGAUGAUAACUCGAUGUUGGCGAUAUACAGUCAGCGUCCAAGCGAAAGCUUAAGCAUCAACCNGAGAGCGCGAGAGAAGUAAUAGAGUAGAGAGNGAGAGNGCGAGAGACAGAGGGAGGAG
This 589-nucleotide ribosomal RNA is filed under the name uncultured bacterium. RNAcentral's name for it is "bacterial SSU rRNA". The stretch from base 1 to 530 matches the Rfam family "Bacterial small subunit ribosomal RNA", at positions 338 to 873 of the family's 1533-position model. The record is from RNAcentral.